Arabidopsis lyrata subsp. lyrata is the source of this 471-nucleotide long non-coding RNA. RefSeq lists it as uncharacterized. Lineage: Eukaryota; Viridiplantae; Streptophyta; Magnoliopsida; Brassicales; Brassicaceae. The record is from RefSeq and is a predicted model, not a curated record. The transcript has 2 exons.
UUUUCUGGGAACACUGUAUUGGUAGUGGAUGAGUCUAAUAAGUCAAAAUCUGGAGAUAAUAAGGAUGAGGGUGGCAAUAGUGGGCUAGAAAAAAUUGAGGAUGGUGCGGUUGUAUCUAAUAUUCACACAUCUAAGUGGGAUGGUGUUUACUGAAGUGGAAGAGAUUAUUUCUUUCAGGGGAAACUGGAGCCGGCUGAGAGGCUUUUCGGUUCGGUAAUACAGGAAGCUAAGGAAGGUUUUGGAGAGAAGGAUCCACAUGUUGCCCCUGCAUGUAACAAUCUGGUUGGUCUCGGUGGGCUUUUUUCAGCUUUCAUAGUUCCUUGGAUUAUAGUUUCAUAUCAGCAUCUUGAGUAUAGUCCUAGGGUAAGUAUUUAACUGUUUUCUGGCUGAGGAAUAUAGACAUAUCCUUAUUAAUUUACAAUUUCUUUGUAUGUUCAUAUCUAUAUAUAUUUUAGCACAAUGGUUUCAUGA